RNAcentral lists this transfer RNA (83 nucleotides) under Candidatus Falkowiibacteriota bacterium. RNAcentral describes it as "tRNA-Tyr". It matches the Rfam family "tRNA". From Rfam's summary of the family: Transfer RNA (tRNA) molecules are approximately 80 nucleotides in length. Their secondary structure includes four short double-helical elements and three loops (D, anti-codon, and T loops). The record is from RNAcentral. Lineage: Bacteria; Candidatus Falkowiibacteriota.
GGAGGGGUGCCCGAGUGGUCAAAGGGAGCGGUCUGUAAAACCGCGGCUUCACGGCUACGCAGGUUCAAAUCCUGCCCCCUCCA